Molecule: ribosomal RNA, 393 nt
Filed under: uncultured bacterium
Lineage: Bacteria
Description: partial 16S ribosomal RNA
Rfam family: Bacterial small subunit ribosomal RNA
Source: RNAcentral
AUACGGAGGACGCGAGCGUUAUCCGGAUUCAUAGGGUUUAAAGGGUGCGCAGGCGGCCGUGCAAGUCAGCGGUGAAAGCCCGGGGCUCAACCCCGGAAGUGCCGUUGAUACUGCAUGGCUGGAAUGCGGUCGAGGCGGGCGGGACGGGGCGGGUAGCGGGGAAAUGCGUAGAUAUGCCACAGAACGCCGAUAGCGGAGGCAGCUCGCCAGGCCUGCAUUGACGCUCGGGCACGAAAGCGUGGGGAUCGAACAGGAUUAGAUACCCUGGUAGUCCACGCCGUAAACGAUGGGCGCUCGUCGUCGGCGGCAGACAGUCGGCGGCCAAGCGAAAGCGAUAAGCGCCCCACCUGGGGAGUACGGUCGCAAGGCUGAAACUCAAAUGAAUUGGCGGGG